GAACGCUCUCUGGCAUUAGUCAGAGGGAGUGGCGGACGGGUGAGUAACACGUGGGUAACCUACCUCAAGGUGAGGAAUACCAACGAGAAAUCGUUGACAAUACCACAUGAGCUUCUUUGGGAGCAAAGCUUCUCGUAUUGAGAGGCGCCUUGAGAUGGGCCUGCGCCUGAUUAUGCUCGUUGGUGGGGUAAAAGCCUACCAAGGCGACGAUCGGUAGCUGGUCUGAGAGGACGAUCAGCCACACUGGGAUUGAGAACGGCCCAGACUCCUACGGGAGGCAGCAGUGAGGAAUUUUGGACAAUGGGCGAAAGCCUGAUCCAGCAAUGCCGCGUGUGUGAAGAAGGCCUUCGGGUUGUAAAGCACUUUUGUCCGGAAAGAAAUCCUGGUGGCUAAUAUCCGCCGGGGAUGACGGUACCGGAAGAAUAAGCACCGGCUAACUACGUGCCAGCAGCCGCGGUAAU
Molecule: ribosomal RNA, 461 nt
Filed under: uncultured bacterium
Lineage: Bacteria
Description: bacterial SSU rRNA
Rfam family: Bacterial small subunit ribosomal RNA
Source: RNAcentral